This 492-nucleotide ribosomal RNA is filed under the name uncultured bacterium. RNAcentral's name for it is "partial 16S ribosomal RNA". It matches the Rfam family "Bacterial small subunit ribosomal RNA", at positions 29 to 507 of the family's 1533-position model. The record is from RNAcentral.
AGUGAACGCUGGCGGUAGGCCUAACACAUGCAAGUCGAACGGCAGCACCGUAAGAGCUUGCGCUUACGUGCGGCGAGCGGCGGACGGGUGAGGAAGACAUCGGAAUCUACUUUUUCGUGGGGGAUAACGCAGGGAAACUUACGCUAAUACAGCAUACGACCUACGGGUGAAAGCAGGGGAUCUUCGGACCUUGCGCGAUGGUAUGAGCCGAUGACGGAUUCGAUAGUUGGCGGGGUAAAGGCCAAGCAAGGCGACGAUCGGUAGCUGGUACGAGAGCAUGAUCAGACACAUGGGAAGUGAGACACGGUCCAGACUCCUACGGGAGGCAGCAGCGCGGAAUAUUAGACGAUGGGGCAAAGCCUGAUCCAGCCCUACCGCGUGGGUGCAGAAGGACUUCGGGUUGUAAAGCCAUUUUGUUGGGAAAGAUAAGCAGCAGUUUAAUACCCCGCUGUUCUGACGGUACCGAAAGAAUAAGCUCCGGCUAACUUCGUG